RNAcentral lists this ribosomal RNA (475 nucleotides) under Epicoccum nigrum. RNAcentral's name for it is "eukaryotic LSU rRNA". The stretch from base 120 to 273 matches the Rfam family "5.8S ribosomal RNA". The record is from RNAcentral. Lineage: Eukaryota; Fungi; Ascomycota; Dothideomycetes; Pleosporales; Didymellaceae.
GCUACCUCUUACCCAUGUCUUUUGAGUACCUUCGUUUCCUCGGCGGGUCCGCCCGCCGAUUGGACAACAUUCAAACCCUUUGCAGUUGCAAUCAGCGUCUGAAAAAACAUAAUAGUUACAACUUUCAACAACGGAUCUCUUGGUUCUGGCAUCGAUGAAGAACGCAGCGAAAUGCGAUAAGUAGUGUGAAUUGCAGAAUUCAGUGAAUCAUCGAAUCUUUGAACGCACAUUGCGCCCCUUGGUAUUCCAUGGGGCAUGCCUGUUCGAGCGUCAUUUGUACCUUCAAGCUCUGCUUGGUGUUGGGUGUUUGUCUCGCCUCCGCGUGUAGACUCGCCUUAAAACAAUUGGCAGCCGGCGUAUUGAUUUCGGAGCGCAGUACAUCUCGCGCUUUGCACUCAUAACGACGACGUCCAAAAGUACAUUUUUACACUCUUGACCUCGGAUCAGGUAGGGAUACCCGCUGAACUUAAGCAUA